This 800-nucleotide small RNA is filed under the name Pongo abelii (Sumatran orangutan). RNAcentral's name for it is "retained intron". Lineage: Eukaryota; Metazoa; Chordata; Mammalia; Primates; Hominidae. The record is from RNAcentral.
GGGCGGGUGAGGCGCUCCGCCUGCUGCGCGUCUACGCGGUCCCCGCGGGCCUCCCGGGCCCACUGCGCCGCGCGGACCACCUCGGGCUCGGACGGCCGGUGUCCCUGGCGCGCCGCUCGCCCGGAUCGGCCGCGGCUUCGGCGCCUGGGGCUCCGGGCUCCGGGGAGGCCGCCGCCCGCGAUGCUGCUCUCCAAGUUCGGCUCCCUGGCGCACCUCUGCGGGCCCGGCGGCGUGGACCACCUCCCGGUGAAGAUCCUGCAGCCAGGUACGCGCGGGGCCGGCGGGGCCGGGGCCGGGGCCGGGGCCAGGGCGGGGACCAGGGGCGCCCCGGGCAGCACCAACCCCGCCCGCGCCUCCCUGCAGCCAAGGCGGACAAGGAGAGCUUCGAGAAGGCGUACCAGGUGGGCGCCGUGCUGGGUAGUGGCGGCUUCGGCACGGUCUACGCGGGUAGCCGCAUCGCCGACGGGCUCCCGGUGGCCGUGAAGCACGUGGUGAAGGAGCGGGUGACCGAGUGGGGCAGCCUGGUAAGUUGGGGCACGGGCGGCGGCGGCGGGCGGGCGGGCGCGGGGCUUUUGCUGACCGCCGUGUCCCCCAGGGCGGCGCGACCGUGCCCCUGGAGGUGGUGCUGCUGCGCAAGGUGGGCGCGGCGGGCGGCGCGCGCGGCGUCAUCCGCCUGCUGGACUGGUUCGAGCGGCCCGACGGCUUCCUGCUGGUGCUGGAGCGGCCCGAGCCGGCGCAGGACCUCUUCGACUUCAUCACGGAGCGCGGCGCCCUGGACGAGCCGCUGGCGCGCCGCUUCU